This 1372-nucleotide ribosomal RNA is filed under the name uncultured bacterium. RNAcentral's name for it is "bacterial SSU rRNA". It matches the Rfam family "Bacterial small subunit ribosomal RNA", at positions 28 to 1381 of the family's 1533-position model. The record is from RNAcentral.
GAUGAACGCUGGCGGCGUGCCUAAUACAUGCAAGUCGAGCGAACGGACGAGAAGCUUGCUUUUCUGAUGUUAGCGGCGGACGGGUGAGUAACACGUGGAUAACCUACCUAUAAGACUGGGAUAACUUCGGGAAACCGGAGCUAAUACCGGAUAAUAUUUUGAACCGCAUGGUUCAAAAGUGAAAGACGGUCUUGCUGUCACUUAUAGAUGGAUCCGCGCUGCAUUAGCUAGUUGGUAAGGUAACGGCUUACCAAGGCAACGAUGCAUGGCCGACCUGAGAGGGUGAUCGGCCACACUGGAACUGAGACACGGUCCAGACUCCUACGGGAGGCAGCAGUAGGGAAUCUUCCGCAAUGGGCGAAAGCCUGACGGAGCAACGCCGCGUGAGUGAUGAAGGUCUUCGGAUCGUAAAACUCUGUUAUUAGGGAAGAACAUAUGUGUAAGUAACUGUGCACAUCUUGACGGUACCUAAUCAGAAAGCCACGGCUAACUACGUGCCAGCAGCCGCGGUAAUACGUAGGUGGCAAGCGUUAUCCGGAAUUAUUGGGCGUAAAGCGCGCGUAGGCGGUUUUUUAAGUCUGAUGUGAAAGCCCACGGCUCAACCGUGGAGGGUCAUUGGAAACUGGAAAACUUGAGUGCAGAAGAGGAAAGUGGAAUUCCAUGUGUAGCGGUGAAAUGCGCAGAGAUGUGGAGGAACACCAGUGGCGAAGGCGACUUUCUGGUCUGUAACUGACGCUGAUGUGCGAAAGCGUGGGGAUCAAACAGGAUUAGAUACCCUGGUAGUCCACGCCGUAAACGAUGAGUGCUAAGUGUUAGGGGGUUUCCGCCCCUUAGUGCUGCAGCUAACGCAUUAAGCACUCCGCCUGGGGAGUACGACCGCAAGGUUGAAACUCAAAGGAAUUGACGGGGGCCCGCACAAGCGGUGGAGCAUGUGGUUUAAUUCGAAGCAACGCGAAGAACCUUACCAAAUCUUGACAUCCUUUGACAACUCUAGAGAUAGAGCCUUCCCCUUCGGGGGACAAAGUGACAGGUGGUGCAUGGUUGUCGUCAGCUCGUGUCGUGAGAUGUUGGGUUAAGUCCCGCAACGAGCGCAACCCUUAAGCUUAGUUGCCAUCAUUAAGUUGGGCACUCUAAGUUGACUGCCGGUGACAAACCGGAGGAAGGUGGGGAUGACGUCAAAUCAUCAUGCCCCUUAUGAUUUGGGCUACACACGUGCUACAAUGGACAAUACAAAGGGCAGCGAAACCGCGAGGUCAAGCAGAUCCCAUAAAGUUGUUCUCAGUUCGGAUUGUAGUCUGCAACUCGACUACAUGAAGCUGGAAUCGCUAGUAAUCGUAGAUCAGCAUGCUACGGUGAAUACGUUCCCGGGUCU